Molecule: long non-coding RNA, 5717 nt
Filed under: Homo sapiens (human)
Lineage: Eukaryota; Metazoa; Chordata; Mammalia; Primates; Hominidae
Description: HSALNT0118999
Source: RNAcentral
AAAAUACAAAAAAAUAACUGGGCGUGGUGGUGGGCGCCUGUAGUCCCAGCUACUCGGGAGGCUGAGGUGGAAGAAUGGCAUGAACCUGGGAGGUGGAGCUUGCAGUGAGCCAAGAUCGUGCCACUGCACUCCAGCCUGGAUGACAGAGCGAGACUCCGUCUCAAAAAAAGAAAAAAUUAAUAGUAUCAUAACUAUAUCCCACAUCUUUAUGAAAUAAGCUGGUUUCCCUCAGAGCCACCAGUGCUGCUGUGUCAUAAAAUCUGAUAGAUACUGCCCUUAUCAUUAUUUCUGAAAACACCACAAACUUAUUUCAGUUAUACAAUCUAUGUGACUUGUGUUUUUAUCUCAAGGGUAAUCUCCCUUACUUAAAAUCUGACACAUUUUUAAUUAAUUUAUUUGUUUCUACAUUCAUUCAAAACAUACCAAGAUUUUUAUAUUGCCAGGUUCUUUAUAAAUGCUGCAAAUAUGACAUGAAUAGAGUAAAGAGGUCCUUUGCCUCAUGAGAUGAUAAAUCUAUUUUCUAGAAAUGACAAAUUUUUAACAAGUAAUUCUAUGUGUGAUAAAUGCAAUAACCAAGAGUGCUCUAAGUGCUUUGCAAGCAAAAGUUAAGAAGUCAAAUUUGGUCUUGAAUUUUAUAUUGAGGAUAUUUAUUCCUAUUUAAUUAGAUAAGGAACACUGAAGAAAGAAGAGGUUGCCUUAAAGAUAGCAGUCAGGAUUGGCUACCUAAGAGGGCCAGUAGAAGAUAAAAAUCAGAGCUCCUUAUACAAAAAUUAUUAUGAAUUUUAAGACUGCAAUAGCAGAUCAUUAAACCAAGUGUGUGAUCCCCAAAACGUGAGGUCCUGUGCGACUGCACAUGUCACAUGCCAUGAAGUCAGCCCUCACGCCUAUGAAGCAUCCAGGAAUAUAUGUCAAGCAGGCAGUAGAGUAUACCAGUCUGGAGCUCAAGAGAAAUAUUUUGUUAUAGACAUUUGCAAGUUGUGACAGAUUAAAGAUAGCCAUAAAUUGUCACUCUAAAAAAUCAAGAAAUGGAGUUUAUUUAUCUUCCUCCUUGAAUGUUAGCUGGCCCUAUGAUGGUUUAAUCAAUACAGUGAUGUAAAAGUGAUGUUGUGGUAGUUCUAGGCCCAGCCUUUAAAAGCACUGCUGCUUCUCUCUUGAAAUGCUCACACUUGGGACACUUUCCUCCAGAACCCAGAGGCUAAAUGGAUGUUCACUUUUAGAUGACAGCCCCAGCUGUCCCAGCGAAUAGGCAGCAUCAAGUAUCAGCCAUUUGAGUGAACCAUUUAGAUGUUCCAGUGCAAUUGAGCAGAAGAACCACCCAGCUGAACCUAGUCAAUCCACAGAACCAUGAGAGAUAAUGAAAUGGUUGUUGUUUUAGGCCAUGAAUUUUGCAGUAAUACACAGCAAUAAUAACCAAAACAGAAAUUAGUGAGGUGCUGAAACAACAAAAAGCUAAAACAUUUGGCAUUGGCUUUGGACCUAGAAAGCAGAUAGAAGGUAGUCCAAAGCAGACUGCUAGUGAAAAAUGGAAUGAUAGGGAGAAAAAUGUUUUUGAUGCUGGAAAGGAGGAAGAGGGCUUAUGUUUUUUGUGGACACAAAAAACAGAAAAUAAAGCAAAUGAAAAUUUUUUUUAUUUUAUUGAGCAGCAGAAUAGUGAAAGUGCCAACUGUUUUUCCUGAAUAAAAUAAGGUAUAUGUAGAGAGAGGAACUUAAAAAAAUAGCUUUCAAACAGGAUCUAGAGGGAGUAUUUCUUAACCAAGACUUGUUGGGAAUUUUUCUUAUUCCCAGUCUCCCUCAACAAAAGUCUCUCAAAGUAAGAAAUUACUUUAGGACAAAGAUCAAAUCCAAGGCACUGUCAGUAAAUGUGCAGUUUCAAAGUCAAGAUCUCAGAUAUGUGGCUAUAAGAACUUUUUGUUAAAAACUCAGAAGGAUUUGACAUUUGUAAAAAACUCAGGUGUGCCUCUUUGAAACUUUCUUCUAGACAAUGAGGCUUCUAUAACUCUCUGUUCAAAGUAGGGAAAGGCCUUUUAUAAAGAAACUUUGGUGUCGCUUUUGUCCAGGAAAAUGGCUUAUAUUUUUAUACUCAGGAAAACCACAAAGUAUCUAUAGGAAGUGUACCAAUUUGUACUAAACAAACAAAGAAAAACAGUGACAGUUCAAAAAUUAAGAGAUCUUUGAGACACUCAAUUUUCAACAAAAAGAACACAGCCUGAGAAAGUCACUCAGCUACACAUGUGGGCUGUUUCUUAGGGAAAAGAGAGACAUAUGGAAGAGCCAGAAGCCCAGAGGAAAAAGCUAAGAGGCAGAGAGAAUCAACCCAAGAAAGCUGGAGGAAACCCUAACCAAGGAACCCACAUCUGCUCACCUAAAUUUCAGGAUGUUUAUGAACCAGUGGCUGCUAUUUGCCACUGUACUUUUGGAAUGCGUGUCUAUCAAAUUCUAUUGUCCUUGUCUCACUAUUACAUACUGAGUUUGUGGGGGCCAGAUAACUUGUUUUCUAGUUCAUAGCUCUUCAUCUCAAGAGUAGCCUGAGGUGCCUUAUUCACACCUGGAUCUGAUUUAGAUAAUGGAAUGCUGAACAUUGAACCUAAUUCAGUCACAAAUUGAGACUUUGAGGGUCAUGGGGAAUGGUCAGGGUAUUUUGCAUGUAGAAUGAAUUUAAAUAAUUUAUGACUGAGGGAUCACUGUUGUGGGCUAAAAAUGACCAAACACGUUUUAUUACUCUUUCCAUCAACAUGUGGCAUUUAUUUUCAUUCCCUCUUGAAUCUGGGUUGGCCCUGUGACAGCUUAAAUAGAAUGUGGUGGAAGUGAUGAUAUACCAGUUACAGACACACUUUUUAAGAGGAUUGCAGCAUCCAGGUCCCCCUCUAAGGUUUCUCAUUCUUGGAACAAUUCUUGGAACUCACCCAUCAUACUGUGAGAAACCCAAGCCACAUGUAUAGGACACAUGUUGAUGAUCCAAUUGACAGUCUCAAGCGAACUCUUUGCCAAUAACCAGCAUCAAAUGCUGCCAGGUAAAUGGGAAAUCUUGGCUGUCCCAGCACAAUUGAGCCCAUAGAUGAUGCAGCCAAAUCCAAUUUAUAAGAAACAAGCAACCCCAUUUAGUCCAGUCAACACUAAAAAUAGCGUGAAAUAAUGAAAUAGUUAAGCCAGUAACUUUUGGAGUGGUUUGUUAUAAAAUAAUAGAUAAUUAAAAUAGGAGUCAGCUGUGUAUAGAGGUUAAUGAAGCCAUGAGAUGGUUAAGACAAUCAAUAUGUGACAUGAAAGAAAAAAGGCUAUCUUAGUCUGUUUUCUGUUACCUGAAUUCCAUAAACUGAGUAAUUUAUAAAGAAAAUAAAUGUAUUUAUUUCUUACAGUUCUAGAGGCUGAUAAGUCCAAGCAUAUGGUGCCAGCAUCUGGUGAGGCCUUCUUGCUGUGUAAUCUCAUGGCAGAAGAGUGGAAGGACAAGUGAGCACAUGCAAAAGGGAUUGUACAAGGUGCUGAGCUGGCUUUAUUACAACUUGCUCUUGAGAUAACUACCAACUCUGAUGAUAGGACCUUAAUCUAUUCAUAAGGGUGCUGCCUAUGAUUUGAUUACCUCUUAAAGGCCCCACAUCUUAAUACUUUUACAAUGGCAAUUAAAUGUCAACAUGAGUUUCAGUGGAGACAAACAUUCAAACCAUAGCAAAGGCUUAGAAUAGAAUCCUAGGAAUUCCAAAAUUGCCAGACAGAGAAAAAGAUGACAGCUACAGAAUCUGUGAAAUAUGUUCAUCAAAGUAAAAAGAAAUCCAGACAGUCAGUGACCUGUGAGCCAAUGGAAGAGAGAGACCACACAGGUGAGUGCCAAUGAGAGAUCAAAUGAGAUAUAGGUCAUAGUUACUUGUUCUAUUAAAUGACAUAGAAGAUAAAGGUGGCCUUAGCAAAAAUAGAAUUUCAAACUGUUAGGGAGGAAGCCAGACUGGAAUUAGAGAGGUAGCUGAAGAAUGACAGGGAAUGAGUAGAGAGGAACAGAGAGUAUAGGUUCUUUUGAAGAGCCAGGAAAGUUGGCAUGAAGAAGCUCAAUAUCUCUUUCUGUCUCUCAUUCUCACUCUGUGUGUGUAUGUGUGUGUGUGUGUGUGUGUGGUGGGGAGAAGGAAUAAGAGACAGAAAUCUUGAAACAUUAAAAUUAUCAUUAAAUGAUGGUGAGAAGGAAAGAAAUAUAAAAGUUAUGGUAAGAGAAAAAUAUGAGUAAUAUUUAACUCUUUCCAGAAAGGAUCCUCAAACCAAAGAACAUCCAUUUAGGCACUAUGGCUAGUGUUCAAACACACAAUAACCUCAAAAUAACACUUGCUGUCAAGCAGAAUUUGUAAAACUGAGCUGAAUAAUCAUGGAUUCAAAGGAAUUUAUUUCCUGACAUAUCAAAAUGGCCUUGUUUAAAUCAUGUAAUCGAGUCUAUAAUAAAAAUUUAAUCUUAAGGUUUUAUAGCUCAAAAAAAUCUGUAUUUUAAAUUUUUAGGCAGUUUCUUCUAAGGUGAACAAUGGUAUUUACCUUUUGGGUAGAACAUGACUUAUUUUUGGAAGUAUUGCUUGAGUAAUAUUAAGAAUUAGGAAAUAUCUACUUGCUGAUAUGAGAGUAUACAAAAAUGUUUGCUUGACAAGCUUCCGAGGGCUCUGUAAGAUUGUGGUGAUAUCAGAUAAUGCCCUUCCCAAAUGUGUCUGCUCAUCAAUGAAUUUACACACAUGCAUAACAGCUUCCUGGGAGCAGAAUGGCUUGUACCUGGUUCUGUCUCUGAGUGUUUCAAAGAUAUGGAAGCAUGUUUGAUGAAAGAUCAUGGAAUAGCAAAGAAAAAUAGCACCAAAAAGGCAAACAAGGCAGGGAAAGAUUCUAGACUAGUGAUUUGGGAUCAACACAGGACAGGAUGAUUAGAGAGAAUAGCUUCCUGUGCACACUAUGUAGUUUGAUGCAGAAGCCAUCCUGAUCCAGAUGCCCUGGUACUGUGGGGCGGGACCUUGGAAAAAUUACCCAGAGGAUGUGAAGUGAAAGUUUUGUUACACCAUUCUUCAGAGUGAAGGCAGUUUUCCUACAGAAACCUUCAAAAAAGGAGAUGCAUCCUUCCUUGUUCCUGGCAGUCUUGCAUUUGAGGAAAUCAGUAUGCUCCAACUUAGACUUAUCUUUUAGUCUCCAGAGGCAGAAAAAAAGCAGAAAAGGUUGUUGAAAUUCUUCACAUUGAUUUCAGGGCAAUGAUCUCAAACGGCGCAGUGGGAACCCGCAAAUUUAAGAGGGUAGUUUCCCUGCACAAGCCCUUUUUUUGCCUGCUGCCAUCCGUGUAAGAUGUGACUUGCUCCUCCUUGUCUUCUACCAUGAUUGUGAGGCCUCCCCAGUUAUGUGGAACUCAAAGCUAGAGGAAACCAAAGUCAUAGAACAUCUGAACUCUGUCCAAACAUCGGUCGUAUUUCAAAAUUUCAGACCGAGUCUCGUUCUGUAGUCCAGGCUGGAGUGCAGUGGCGGGAUCUCCACUCACUGCAAGCUCCACCUCCCAGGUUAAAGCCAUUCUCCUGCCUCAGCCUCCUGAGUAGCUGAGACUACAGGCACUCACCACCACACCCGGCUUAUUUUUUGUAUUUUUAGUAGAGACGGGGUUUCACCGUGUUAGCCAGGAUGGUCUCGAUCUCCUGACCUCGUGAUCUGCCUGCCUCGGCCUCCCAAAGUGCUGGUAUUACAGGCGUGAGCCACCACGCCAGGCCACAAUCUUUCAUUUUUAU